Molecule: ribosomal RNA, 228 nt
Filed under: Phaffomycetaceae sp.
Lineage: Eukaryota; Fungi; Ascomycota; Saccharomycetes; Phaffomycetales; Phaffomycetaceae
Description: partial large subunit ribosomal RNA
Source: RNAcentral
AAGGUUAUUAGAUCAGACUUGGAUUUUUUAUUAUAUUUGUCUCCUUGUGGGGCAUUCACUAAUUUUUAAUCCAGGCCAGCAUCGAUUGGGAUGGCGGGAAAAAGAGGGAGGAACGUGGCUGUGCAUUUAUGUGCAGUGUUUAUAGCCUUUCUUAAUACCGCCUGUCUCGAUCGAGGACUGCGGCAAAUUUAUUUUUGCCUAGGAUGCUGGCGUAAUGAUCUAAUAUCG